RNAcentral lists this ribosomal RNA (440 nucleotides) under uncultured bacterium. Its description in RNAcentral is "partial 16S ribosomal RNA". It matches the Rfam family "Bacterial small subunit ribosomal RNA", at positions 338 to 795 of the family's 1533-position model. The record is from RNAcentral.
CCUACGGGAGGCAGCAGUGGGGAAUAUUGCACAAUGGGGGAAACCCUGAUGCAGCGACGCCGCGUGAGUGAAGAAGUAUCUCGGUACGUAAAGCUCUAUCAGCAGGGACGAAAAUGACGGUACCUGACUAAGAAGCCCCGGCUAACUACGUGCCAGCAGCCGCGGUAAUACGUAGGGGGCAAGCGUUAUCCGGAUUUACUGGGUGUAAAGGGAGCGUAGACGGCAGCAUAAGUCUGGAGUGAAAUCCCGGGGCUUAACCCCGGAACUGCUUUGGAAACAGGUCGGCUAGAGUGCAGGAGGGGUGAGCGGAAUUCCUAGGGUAGCGGUGAAAUGCGUAGAUAUUAGGAGGAACACCAGUGGCGAAGGCGGCUUACUGGACUGUAACUGACGUUGAGGCUCGAAAGCGUGGGGAGCAAACAGGAUUAGAUACCCGUGUAGUC